GACGAACGCUGGCGGCGUGCCUAAUACAUGCAAGUAGAACGCUGAAGAGAGGAGCUUGCUCUUCUUGGAUGAGUUGCGAACGGGUGAGUAACGCGUAGGUAACCUGCCUGGUAGCGGGGGAUAACUAUUGGAAACGAUAGCUAAUACCGCAUAAAAUGGAUUAUCGCAUGAUAAUCCAUUGAAAGGUGCAAAUGCAUCACUACCAGAUGGACCUGCGUUGUAUUAGCUAGUUGGUGGGGUAACGGCUCACCAAGGCGACGAUACAUAGCCGACCUGAGAGGGUGAUCGGCCACACUGGGACUGAGACACGGCCCAGACUCCUACGGGAGGCAGCAGUAGGGAAUCUUCGGCAAUGGACGGAAGUCUGAACGAGCAACGCCGCGUGAGUGAAGAAGGUUUUCGGAUCGUAAAGCUCUGUUGUAAGAGAAGAACGAGUGUGAGAGUGGAAAGUUCACACUGUGACGGUAUCUUACCAGAAAGGGACGGCUAACUACGUG
This 497-nucleotide ribosomal RNA is filed under the name uncultured bacterium. Its description in RNAcentral is "partial 16S ribosomal RNA". It matches the Rfam family "Bacterial small subunit ribosomal RNA", at positions 28 to 507 of the family's 1533-position model. The record is from RNAcentral.